This is a long non-coding RNA of Saccoglossus kowalevskii, 741 nucleotides long. The record is from RefSeq and is a predicted model, not a curated record. NCBI's taxonomy places the organism in Eukaryota, Metazoa, Hemichordata, Enteropneusta, Harrimaniidae.
GCAUGAUUGUUUGUUUAGAGUCUCUGCACAACAUUUUUUAUUUAAGAGUAAUAUAGGAAAAGCAGCAAUGAUGUUAUGUUUAUUACUGAUCCUUGCGGUUGCCAGUUUGGCCCAAGCAGUCCCACAGGAGAGAUCCGUCAAGCAAAGGAAUCCUUCGAGCGUAUAUAAAGUUUUGGAUGGGCCCAUGAACUGGUCUGGUGCAAAAGAUAAAUGUGAAGCCCUUGGUUGUAUAUUAGCACAGCCUAAAUCUGAGUACGAAAACGAUGCUUUGCAAGCUGUACUUGUUUCAGGUUAUUAUUGGCUUGGGAUAACAGAUCUGAACCACGAAGGGCGAUUCACUUACUACACUGAUGAUGAAAACAUUGUAUACAAUAACUGGGCUGAAAACAUCCAAUAGAUUACUAUGGAUCUCAUGACUGCGUUGAUAUUAGGGCUAGCGAUUUAACAUGGGAUGACUAUGAUUGUAAAACAGCAGAAAAUAAUGCAGUCUGCGAGUGUCCUCCUAAUGGAGUGAGCGGUGAUCCUCAUAUGAGGACAUUCGAUGGGCGUGCUUAUACAUUCCAAGGCACAUGCUGGUAUUAUCUAUUCAGGGACUGCACUGACAACCCUCGUUUUGAAGUCACAAGCAAGUUUGAACCAAGAGAAGAUAGUACACCAUGGCGAGACCAAGUCAGAACACGAACAAUCGCAUUCAACGUAACUGUUGGAAAUCAAUACGCAAUUAUUGAUGGACUGGAUGUU